UGUCGCAUGGUGUAGUGGUAUGAUUCUCGCUUUGGGUGCGACAGGUCCCAGGUUCGAAUCCCGUUUCGGCCC
Non-coding RNA from Teladorsagia circumcincta, 72 nucleotides. The record is from the annotation of a GenBank genome assembly. Lineage: Eukaryota; Metazoa; Nematoda; Chromadorea; Rhabditida; Trichostrongylidae.